UACGUAGGGUGCAAGCGUUAUCCGGAAUUACUGGGCGUAAAGAGCUCGUAGGCGGUUUGUCGCGUCGUCUGUGAAAACUCGAGGCUCAACCUCGAGCUUGCAGGCGAUACGGGCAGACUUGAGUACUGCAGGGGAGACUGGAAUUCCUGGUGUAGCGGUGAAAUGCGCAGAUAUCAGGAGGAACACCGGUGGCGAAGGCGGGUCUCUGGGCAGUAACUGACGCUGAGGAGCGAAAGCGUGGGUAGCGAACAGG
Molecule: ribosomal RNA, 253 nt
Filed under: uncultured bacterium
Lineage: Bacteria
Description: partial 16S ribosomal RNA
Rfam family: Bacterial small subunit ribosomal RNA
Source: RNAcentral